RNAcentral lists this non-coding RNA (28 nucleotides) under Bombyx mori (domestic silkworm). The record is from miRBase by way of RNAcentral. Lineage: Eukaryota; Metazoa; Arthropoda; Insecta; Lepidoptera; Bombycidae.
UAAUCGCGUACCGUUGCAUAGCCGUGGC